RNAcentral lists this ribosomal RNA (397 nucleotides) under uncultured bacterium. RNAcentral's name for it is "partial 16S ribosomal RNA". It matches the Rfam family "Bacterial small subunit ribosomal RNA", at positions 338 to 732 of the family's 1533-position model. The record is from RNAcentral.
CCUACGGGAGGCAGCAGUGAGGGAUAUUGGUCAAUGGGCGCGAGCCUGAACCAGCCAAGUCGCGUGAAGGAUGACGGCCCUACGGGUUGUAAACUUCUUUUGUAAAGGAAUAAAGUGAGGCACGUGUGCCUGUAUGUAUGUACUUUAUGAAUAAGGAUCGGCUAACUCCGUGCCAGCAGCCGCGGUAAUACGGAGGAUCCGAGCGUUAUCCGGAUUUAUUGGGUUUAAAGGGAGCGUAGAUGGGUUGUUAAGUCAGUUGUGAAAGUUUGCGGGUCAACCGUAAACUUGCAGUGGAUACUGGCAGUUGUGAGUACAGUUGAGGUAGGCGGAAUGCGUGGUGUAGCGGUGAAAUGCUUAGAUAUCACGAAGAACGCCGAUUGCGAAGGCAGCUUACUGA